UACAGCUCCCUGUAAGUUUGUCCUGUGUCGCUGAGAGCUCUAUUUUUCAGAACAUCCUUUCUGCAACCAAUGAUGAAAGCUUGCAAGGUAUGUAUUCUUUGCUGCUAUGUUUCAUGGAUAUCAAGUCUAUGCAAGCCUCUAGAUAGUAGUAGCUUUUAAAAUUUUAUCGAAUUUGACAGUGCAGCGGGAAAUAAUACCAAUCAGCAGCAGAUGGUGAUAAGUCACUAACUAACCCUGUUGUUCCCAGGUGAACACAGCAGGAACAUCUAUUGCAUUGGCAGAAGAAUCACCGGAUGUUGGUACGUUAGGGUUUGCUGGCUAAAGAACAUCUAUUGAAUUCCCUGGCAGGAAAGUUCUAGGCCCAUCACUUUGUACAAAAAAUUAAUGCAAUACAUGUCUAGAUGAUCAUGUUCUUUUUCUCAAACUGUCAGUUAACGUUUGCUGGCUUUAAUUUAGAUAUGCAAAUGAGGGCAACUUUUCUUGUUUAGUACCCUGUUUCCGAGGGAUGAGGCGCUGUUGGCUAUUUGCUGGUGCGAAGAGUGCGCAAUCGUCGCGACUCGCAGGUGCUGGAUCAAUGUCGCUUGACAACAGCGAGGUGUAGAUGGUGACAUGCACAUCGGAGUCGAGUAGUGUUGACACGAGGCGGCAGAAAGUACGGGCGAGUCAGUACUAUGAGUCACUUCUGCUAGAAGCCAAAGUGAAGAAUGAGCGAGAAGUUCUACUGGUACUGCGAAAGAUGUGGGCAUUAAACUCCAAUAGUUACAGACAAAGAUUGAUAGUUGACUAAACUUCCAUCAUUAUCUGAGAAAGUUGUGUAGUUAUAUAGAUCAAACGGGGCUAUGUACUAUAAAUACACUAUUAGAGGUAGGGAAAAGGCUGAAUUCGCCGGAUGAGCGUAGAUGAUAACAAAUUUUGGAAUUUGUUC
Molecule: long non-coding RNA, 925 nt
Organism: Lolium rigidum
Lineage: Eukaryota; Viridiplantae; Streptophyta; Magnoliopsida; Poales; Poaceae
Exons: 2
Source: RefSeq, a predicted model, not a curated record